CCCCGCCUGAUACUCUCCUCCUUCUUCUUCGUAUGUUGUGAAAUCCUCUUAGAUUAAAAGAAACCCUAAAAUCAUUGUGACGGUUCCUGAUAUACGAUUUUUAGUUGUGAAGUUCCUGAAAUCAUAUUUUUGACUUCAAAAUGCGAUUUUUCUGAAUUGCUACUUGGUGUGUUGAAGAUCUAUAAUUUCAUAUUUUUGAAGUUCUUAAAAUCCUCUUCGACCAACACUACCUCCAAUCGACACCGAAUUGUCAGGCCUCGUACGACGACGAUGUACGGGCCUUAUCGACCAACACUUCAUCCACCAUCACCGUUUGCAGCUCUCCAACCCCAUCCUUGGGCGACCAAUGGAUGAUGUUCCCGCAAGUCAAUUUGGUGUGACGCAUCUUGUCACUCAUAAAACCACGCACCAACAGUUUGCUUGCAAGUCAAUCGCGAUGCAGAAGCUGAUUAACAAGGAUGACAUCGACGUUGUCUUUCGAGAGCUCCAUGGCGCCUACGAGGAUCGCUUGCUAGUCAAUCGAUGAUUGUCGUCCGCUCAUAGGGCCAAGAAAUUGAAAUCAAAGGGUUAGGGUUUUGUCAAUUUCUGGUUUUGUAAUUUUCUCGUUCAGUAAUUUUUUUAUGUUUCCUAAUUAUUGGUUUUGUAGUUUGUCAAUUCUACAAGCCACCAUGGCUUGCCGAGGAAGAUGAAACGCUACUCACUAAUUUCAGGGUGCAUCACUUGAAACAUUAUUUCUAGAUUAGUUCCCAAAAACGCAAUUCAAGAUCGCUAGCGAUUGAAACAAUUUUGCAAUUGGAGAUUGUUCCACCAGUUGCGUUCAUAAAAAAAUGCUACUUAUAUCAAAACCACCUACCAUAGUAACAAGUGUGACAUAGCUACCAUUGAUGAUGGGAGAUUAAUGGAUGAUGUUGAAGCUGGAGAAUUAUGGGGUUUCUUUGGUGGAUUUUCUCCACUUCCAAAGAAAACAUCUACAAAUGAUGCUCAAAGUACUCAUGCUUAUCCUACUCAGCAACUUUGUAUCAUAAAGGGAAAGCAAUACCUGUAGCUGAUGAUUCAUACAAAGAAGUUACUAGACACACACCAUUGUUAUCUUCUAGAUUGUGGAGCAAAAAUUUAUGUGUGGGUUAGAAGAAGUACUAAUCUUGAAGAAAGAAAAGCUGCAAAUGGAGCUGCAGAAGAACAUUUACGUGUUCAUGAAAGACCAAAAUCCAAUAUCAUUCGAAUGAUUGAGAAUUUUGAGACAGUUUCUUUCAGAUCAAAGUUUGAUUCAUGGCCUCCAUUGAGUGAUGUGGUUGCAUCUAAAGAUGGUAGAGGGAAGGUGGCUGCUUAAAUCUAACAGCAAGAAGUAAGAACAGGGGAACAGAGAAUAAGAAGAAGCAAUUGAGGGGUUAACACAAUGUUCCAUUUGGAUCAACCUAUGUAUCUUCUUGGGUUUCUUGCUAACCAGAGCAGGGUUUAUCUCAUUAAAAAAGAAUUCAAUGUCAUUGGUUACACUCUGCUCCUGAUAUUAAUCGAGUACAAGACACUUGUGAUGCGUGGAGACAUAGAAUGAGCUUAUGGACUUUUACCUUCAAUCCCAAAGGAGCAUUAUAAUAGUGUUGCUCAUUUUCUGGAGUCAUGGGGCAAGGUUGAAGAGGCCUUGGAAGUUGCUACAGACCCUGAUUAUAGAUUUGAGUUGGUUAUUCAGCUUGGUAAACUUGACAUUGCCAAGGUAGAAUUUCUACUAGCUUUGUUCAAGAACAAAAGGAAAAAGAAUCUGUUUGCAAAUAGGAUGAUUGUUAACAGAAGAGCAAGGUAUGCUGCUACAAAGCUAACGACAGAUGUUUUAAGUCUCUACAAGAAGUCAUUGGAAUCAGAGAUGGAAAUGGAAAUGGUGCUCCUUAUCUGAUGCACCUAAAGGUUUUGACACCAAACGUAAUCAAUCCACUUUGGCAUCUCUAAGUAAAGGAUUUGCUGAGCUCUCCAUAGAUGGACAGUUUCUACAACUGCGCUCAAAACAGGUAUGGUCAAGAAGAAUAACAGGGGUAGGGACGGAUUCUUACAAGGGAUAGAAGCUCUUACACAAGGUUUUACUUUUAGGGCAUUUGGUGUAGUGAGGAAACCUGUUGAAAGUGCCAGACAGAUCGAAUGGUAUUCUUGGACUUGGGAGAGCCUUUCUUGGAUUCGUGGUACAACCAGUGAGUGGAGCAUUGGAGCCACUGGAGGUGGAAGAUCAUAUGAAUAUACGAGUCUGUCUUCACCUGUUUCGUUUCGUUUCUUGAAGCCAUUGUUUGGGUGAUUCUCAAGAUUCCGGUUUCGUUUCUUGAAUCUGUUGUUUGGGUGAUUCUCACUUAUUACGUAGUUGGUUUCAAUUCUAAUAUUGCAAGAUUCUUCAAGCAAUAUCUUCUGCUUUUGCUUUUUAACCAAAUGUCUUCAGAAUUUUUUCGGUUCAUUGGGUUGAAAUAUGAUUGUUGCAAACAUGUUUGGUUCAUUUGCACUUCUCUUAGUCUUUGCUUUGGGUGGCUUUGUUCUUGUUCGAGCAUGGGUAGAUUGGGGAGGAAGUAUUGUCAAGUGGAACACUAGUACAUGGAAGCGUAUAAGAUGAUGGGAGGUUUCUUGCAAUGUACGAUCCAAGGGGACAUAUUUAUAUUGAAUUCUAGUAAUAUGAGGAUGCAUAGUGUAGUGAAGAAACCACAUCUUGGCGUUGUUACAGCUCUAGCCUUCUCAUAGGAUUCAAGACACGCAUGGGUGACUAUCUCAAAGAUGUGGCAUUCAGUCAUAUCUAAAAGCUUACAGAUACAACAGUUAAAUCAGGACUUGAAGUUGCACUCUAUCCUCAAGAAAUAAGUUAGAAUGUCAAUUCACUUCAUUAUCACUUUCAUUUUGCUAUUGAUUUUCCCUUAUUUUUAAUAUAAAAUAUUGUUCUUAAUUCUGAUUGUAUGUUUUUGACAAAUGGAGAUUCCAUAUUUGGAUGAAUGGGAUCAAAAUGAAAAGGAUCACUCCAUCUCCUUAGGUCGGGCUGUUAAGGAUAUGGAGUCUAGCUCUCUCCAUCUUCUAGUUUUAUGUGGUGCAAAGUUAUGAUCUUCAAAUCUUAAUGAUCUUCAAAAGUAAAACUGUAAAAAGUUAUUUGUUAUGCUCAUUGAUUUUACAGCUAGAUGUUGAUGUGAUGCAAAGAAUAUCAGGUCUGGAGCAGCUGUUGAUGUGAUUAAGAGAAUAUCAGUCUCCAUAUGCUCUUUAGUAACUAAGGUGAAGCGGAACAGCUAACUCUACAUGAAACAUUUCUACUUUCUAGUAGUGACAAUAGGUUUCCAUGAUGGCAUGAAAUUGGUAAAGUUGAUGGAAGAAAGGAAUAUGAAGCCACUUGAUUUAAAUCUUGCAGCAUUAUCAGCAAGAUGCAGUAAAGACUUGGAGUUGAAUUUGGCUAAGUCAUUAUUGAGUGAGAUGAGCCAAUGUACAACUGCUUAUCCAUAUAAUCAGUUGUUUGGAGCAUUAGUCUGAAAGAAUUAUGAAAGGCAAGAUGCAACUUUACUUAGUUGGAAUUUGAUGUACAUAGUAGAUUAGAUGCAAAUUUAUAUAUUGUAAGAUAUAGAAUUGUAUGACAUUAAAUUUAUGCAAUGGAUUCUAUUUUUUGUA
Non-coding RNA from Lactuca sativa (garden lettuce), 3612 nucleotides. The record is from RefSeq and is a predicted model, not a curated record. NCBI's taxonomy places the organism in Eukaryota, Viridiplantae, Streptophyta, Magnoliopsida, Asterales, Asteraceae.